RNAcentral lists this transfer RNA (57 nucleotides) under Cricetulus griseus (Chinese hamster). It matches the Rfam family "tRNA", at positions 7 to 64 of the family's 71-position model. From Rfam's summary of the family: Transfer RNA (tRNA) molecules are approximately 80 nucleotides in length. Lineage: Eukaryota; Metazoa; Chordata; Mammalia; Rodentia; Cricetidae. The record is from Rfam by way of RNAcentral.
GUGGCUCAGUGGUUAAGAGCACUUGUUCUUCUAGAAGACCUGGGUUCAAUUCCCAGC